CCGGCCGCCAGCGGCGCUCGCAAAGUUCGGAUCCGCAAGGACCGGGCCAGCGGGACGUCCCAGUGGCAGGGUGCACUUUCUCCGCGGUCGAGUGCUACGACCGGUUUCGAGGCGGUCAGAAGCCCGGCGGAAAGGUAGCGCCGCCCUUCGGGGUGUCGUGUUAUAGGCCGCCGCGGUGGACUCGCCGCGAGACCGAGGACGCUUGCCGCGCCGAGCGGUCCCGGGCCGUCUUGGGAGGUUCGACCUCGGCUGCACUGCUCCGCAGAGCACCGUAACCGCCGCCCUAGCACGGGUCCGGAGACUGCCGGCGCCUCGGGUCAGUAGCG
Molecule: ribosomal RNA, 326 nt
Filed under: Corbicula sp. KMT208b
Lineage: Eukaryota; Metazoa; Mollusca; Bivalvia; Venerida; Cyrenidae
Description: partial 28S ribosomal RNA
Source: RNAcentral